RNAcentral lists this unclassified non-coding RNA (280 nucleotides) under Glomus sp. RNAcentral describes it as "partial contains 5.8S ribosomal RNA and internal transcribed spacer 2". The stretch from base 1 to 65 matches the Rfam family "5.8S ribosomal RNA", at positions 84 to 154 of the family's 154-position model. Lineage: Eukaryota; Fungi; Glomeromycota; Glomeromycetes; Glomerales; Glomeraceae. The record is from RNAcentral.
GUGAAUCAUCGAAUUUUUGAACGCAAAUUGCACUCUCCUCGGAGAGUAUGCCUGUUUGAGGGUCAGACUAUAAAAAAUCGACAUCGUUGCUGUUUCGCGGUGACGUUAGUCGGAAAUUGGGACAUAUUAAAUACUUUUGGUCUUAAGCGAUUUAAAAAUUACAUUUUGGUACCAUGAACGAUUCUAAGAUUUAUUUCUUUACACGUUUAAGGUAUCGAUUAUUACUAGACGUGACCAUCAUAUAGGAUCGAGUCCAUAAGAUUUCAUUAACUGACCUAAG